GAGUUUGAUCAUGGCUCAGGAUGAACGCUGGCGGCGUGCCUAAUACAUGCAAGUCGAGCGAGAAUUUCAUAAGUGGAGACUUCGGUCAAAGCGAGUGAAAGGAAAGCGGCGGACGGGUGAGUAAUGCGUGGGUAACCUGCCCCUUGGAGAGGGAUAGCAGUUGGAAACGGCUAUUAAUACCUCAUAAGCGCACAGUUUCGCAUGAAGCAGUGUGAAAAGAUUUAUCGCCAAAGGAUGGACCCAUGUCCGAUUAGUUAGUUGGUGAGGUAACGGCUCACCAAGACCGCGAUCGGUAGCCGACCUGAGAGGGUGAUCGGCCACAUUGGGACUGAGACACGGCCCAAACUCCUACGGGAGGCAGCAGUAGGGAAUAUUGCACAAUGGGGGAAACCCUGAUGCAGCAACGCCGCGUGAACGAUGAAGGAUUUCGAUCUGUAAAGUUC
This 443-nucleotide ribosomal RNA is filed under the name Peptostreptococcaceae bacterium canine oral taxon 168. RNAcentral describes it as "bacterial SSU rRNA". It matches the Rfam family "Bacterial small subunit ribosomal RNA", at positions 9 to 433 of the family's 1533-position model. The record is from RNAcentral. Lineage: Bacteria; Bacillati; Bacillota; Clostridia; Peptostreptococcales; Peptostreptococcaceae.